RNAcentral lists this unclassified non-coding RNA (338 nucleotides) under soil metagenome. RNAcentral's name for it is "partial contains 5.8S ribosomal RNA, internal transcribed spacer 2, and large subunit ribosomal RNA". The stretch from base 1 to 120 matches the Rfam family "5.8S ribosomal RNA", at positions 35 to 154 of the family's 154-position model. The record is from RNAcentral.
GAUGAAGAACGUAGCGAAAUGCGAUAAGUAGUGUGAAUUGCAGAAUUCAGUGAAUCAUCGAAUCUUUGAACGCACAUUGCACCUCUCGGUAUUCCGGGAGGUAUGCCUGUUCGAGCGUCAUUUGUACCCUCAAGCUCUGCUUGGUGUUGGGUGUUUGUUCCGCCUCUGUGUGUGAACUCGCCUCAAAACAAUUGGCAGCCGGCGUACUUGUUUCGGAGCGCAGCACAUUUUGCGAUCCAGAUCAACGUACAGCGGCAUCCAAGAAGCCUUAUUUAACGCUCUUGACCUCGGAUCAGGUAGGGAUACCCGCUGAACUUAAGCAUAUCAAAAGCGGAGGA